Long non-coding RNA from Diceros bicornis minor, 591 nucleotides. RefSeq lists it as uncharacterized. The transcript has 3 exons. The record is from RefSeq and is a predicted model, not a curated record. NCBI's taxonomy places the organism in Eukaryota, Metazoa, Chordata, Mammalia, Perissodactyla, Rhinocerotidae.
ACUCAUCACCAAGACCAACGUCGAGGAGCUUACCGCUAUGUUUUCUUCUAGGAGUUUUAUUGGUUUCAGGUCUCAAAAUUUACCGUCAUAACCAUUUUCAAGUGUACAGUUCAGUAGUGUUAAGUGUAUUUGCAUUGUUGUGCAACAGAUCUCCAGAACCUUUUUGUCUUACAGAACCGAAACUCUGAACCCGUUAAACAACAACUCUUCGCCUCCUUGGUUAAGUUAUUCCUGAGUAUUUUAUUCUUUUUGAUGCUAUUGUAAGUGAAAUUGUUUUCUUAAUUUUCUUUUCAGGUAUUUUUCUUUUCAUAUUUUUAUGUGUUGAAGCAGCAGCAUUUUCAUACAUGAGCAUUUUCAUUAAUGCGCACGGGCUAAGGUUUCCAGGGAGUUGGACAGGAAGCCCCAGAGUAGCAUCAGGCAGCAAGACCACCAGCGCUCGCUAUGCAGACAUCUUUUCAGAGGACCCAGACUAACACAUACCCUUUGUAUGGGAAAGGUGGAAAAGGAUUGUUUUGGCUAUUCAAGGUCCCUUGCAAUUCCAUAUGAAUUUUAGAAUCAGCUUGUCAGUUUCUACAAAGAAGUCAGCCGGGA